UACGUAGGGCGCAAGCGUUGUCCGGAAUUAUUGGGCGUAAAGAGCUCGUAGGCGGUCUGUCGCGUCCGUUGUGAAAACUCGAGGCUCAACCUCGGGCUUGCAGUGGAUACGGGCAGACUAGAGUGCGGUAGGGGAGACUGGAAUUCCUGGUGUAGCGGUGGAAUGCGCAGAUAUCAGGAAGAACACCCGUGGCGAAGGCGGCUCUCUGGAACGGUACUGACGCUGAGACGCGAAAGCGUGGGGAGCGAACAGG
Molecule: ribosomal RNA, 253 nt
Filed under: uncultured bacterium
Lineage: Bacteria
Description: partial 16S ribosomal RNA
Rfam family: Bacterial small subunit ribosomal RNA
Source: RNAcentral